UUUAGUAUCCUCUGUUAUAGAUAUAGGAGUUGCAGACAUGAAAGAACCAAUCAACCCACCAAAAUCAUCAACACCCAAAGCUUUCUUUCUCUCUCUAAUUCUCCUCUCUCUCUUUUCUACCUCAUCUUUCUCUCUCUACAAUCCAAACACCCCAACUCCCAGCAACCGUACAAUCACCAUCAACGGACUCAAAAUCCGACCCGAAUACACCUCCUACGACAUCCACAUCCACCACCAGCUUCACAAAAACUCCGAAAAUAUGGACCUCCAGGGAUGGGGACCAAAAGAUUCGGGUUUUCACCCAAAUUUUUCUCCAAUUAAAACAAGAAAAACUGCUCGCAAAUUCAUCAAAGGCGCUUUGUGUUGGAGCUCGGAUUGGGUAGGAAGUGGAGGCUUUGAAACAGGUUGGAGUUAAUGAUUCAAUCGGGUUGGAUCUUGUACCCUACCCGCCUAUUGUGAUUAAGGAUAAAUUCAUUGGAGAGAUUGAACGGACGUUGAAGCCUGGUGGAAUCUGUGUGCCAUCAAAAUAUAAGGAGGCUUGCUUCAACUGGCCAUGGCGGUGGUUUGGUGGUGAUUGGAUCAGUCUGCCAUCAAAAUAGAAGGAAGACGAGAGGAUGGGUUGAAGAAGGCAACAAUUUGGUUGUUUCUGGGUUUUUUCUGGUGUGUUUGUGUGUGAGAGAGAGGUGGGCCCCAAGUUUUGUAUACGUGUGCUCUAAACCGGCUAAAACAAGUAAAGGGGACUAAAAGAACAAGUUGUUCACAAGUUGGUUCCCUCAUAAAACCACGAAAAAACUUAAAUGACUAAAAUGGUCAACCUUAGAAACUUCAUAGGGCGUAUGUGUCAUUUUCCCAAUUUAAAAAUAUAUUCAGUAAAAAUGUAGGAAAAAAAACCUUUUUAAUAUAAAAUAUGUUAUAUUAUUUGUAUAAUUAAAUGAAUCAAGAGAGAAAAGAAUUGCAGCAUAAAGCUGUAUGAAAAACUUAAUAAUGAUGCAACAAUUUAUUUGAUAUGAUAGAUUAAACCUUAUACAUUUCAAUGUAAUAUAAUGUCCUAAAAACAUAUUAAUCUUAUUCAUAACUUGACUUGUAUUAAACUAUCAACAGAAGAAAGAGAAGAACUCGAUCUAAUCAAUAAUUGAUGUUAGUCUGUUCAUUUUUUUAUAAUAUUGCUUCAGAUUUGAAACCCCACGUUUGCUGAUUAUGUACGAAUAUACAUCCUAUGUGAUUUAUUAUCUUUGUCGGGCUUUCAUUUUCGUCAAAUAGAUCAUGGGAAAAUACGGUUUUUUGGGGUUUAGUUAAAAAAUAGACACAAAAAAUUGAAUUUCCGGAUAUAGACAUGGAUUCCGCGGAGGUAGCUCCGAGUACGCGAAAUGCACUGUAGCUCCGCGAAAUGACAAAAUCGUAAAUAAAUCAGGGUAUUAAAAAAUAAUAAAAAAAAUAAAAAAAAAA
Non-coding RNA from Lactuca sativa (garden lettuce), 1446 nucleotides. The record is from RefSeq and is a predicted model, not a curated record. NCBI's taxonomy places the organism in Eukaryota, Viridiplantae, Streptophyta, Magnoliopsida, Asterales, Asteraceae.